Molecule: ribosomal RNA, 492 nt
Filed under: uncultured bacterium
Lineage: Bacteria
Description: partial 16S ribosomal RNA
Rfam family: Bacterial small subunit ribosomal RNA
Source: RNAcentral
AGUGAACGCUGGCGGUAGGCCUAACACAUGCAAGUCGAACGGCAGCACAGUAGGAGCUUGCUCUUACGGGUGGCGAGUGGCGGACGGGUGAGGAAUACAUCGGAAUCUACUUUUUCGUGGGGGAUAACGUAGGGAAACUUACGCUAAUACCGCAUACGACCUACGGGUGAAAGCAGGGGAUCUUCGGACCUUGCGCGAUUGAAUGAGCCGAUGUCGGAUUAGCUAGUUGGCGGGGUAAAGGCCCACCAAGGCGACGAUCCGUAGCUGGUCUGAGAGGAUGAUCAGCCACACUGGAACUGAGACACGGUCCAGACUCCUACGGGAGGCAGCAGUGGGGAAUAUUGGACAAUGGGCGCAAGCCUGAUCCAGCCAUACCGCGUGGGUGAAGAAGGCCUUCGGGUUGUAAAGCCCUUUUGUUGGGAAAGAAAAGCAGCAGGUUAAUACCCCACUGUUCUGACGGUACCCAAAGAAUAAGCACCGGCUAACUUCGUG